RNAcentral lists this unclassified non-coding RNA (535 nucleotides) under Hevea brasiliensis (rubber tree). The record is from RNAcentral. Lineage: Eukaryota; Viridiplantae; Streptophyta; Magnoliopsida; Malpighiales; Euphorbiaceae.
GGGUUUGUUGAACUUCAUUGAUGGAUUGUGGUCCAAUUGCGGGGAUGAAAGAAUUAUUGUAUUUACAACCAACCAUAAGGAGAAGUUGGAUCCUGCUUUGUUGAGACCUGGUCGAAUGGAUAUGCACAUUCAUAUGUCCUAUUGUACUAAUCAGAGUUUCAAGAUUCUGGCUUUUAACUACUUGGGUGUAUCUGAUCAUAGACUAUUCGGGGAGAUUGAAGGCCUAAUCAAGAAUGUAGAGGUGACCCCUGCAGAAGUUGCAGAGGAACUGAUGAGAAGUGAGGAUGCUGAGGUUGUCCUUGAGGGAGUGCUUAAUUUGCUCAAGCGAAAAGCUGAUGAAGCCAAUGAAAUCAAGGAGGAGAAGAGUCCUAGCACCCCAGAAGACGAUGAGAAGGAAGAGAUUGAGGACAAAAAGGUUGAUGAAGGUGAGAUUCAAGAAGCUAAAAGACUGAGAACUGAAGUGUUGGUUCAUACUUUGAGAAACCAAAGGAGAGGAAGAAUGAGAAUAGGAAGACCGAAUAGAGGACGAGGGGGG